Non-coding RNA from Achaetomium macrosporum, 79 nucleotides. Lineage: Eukaryota; Fungi; Ascomycota; Sordariomycetes; Sordariales; Chaetomiaceae. The record is from the annotation of a GenBank genome assembly.
GGUCCGCUGGCUCAAUGGCAGAGCGUCUGACUACGAUUGUGUAAUCAGGAGGUUCCAGGUUCGACCCCUGGGUGGAUCG